GGGUUGUGAGGUUAAGCGACUAAGCGUACACGGUGGAUGCCCUGGCAGUCAGAGGCGAUGAAGGACGUGCUAAUCUGCGAAAAGCGUCGGUAAGGUGAUAUGAACCGUUACAGCCGGCGAUGUCCGAAUGGGGAAACCCAGUGUGAUUCGUCACACUAUCGUUAACUGAAUACAUAGGUUAACGAGGCGAACCGGGGGAACUGAAACAUCUAAGUACCCCGAGGAAAAGAAAUCAACCGAGAUUCCCCCAGUAGCGGCGAG
Molecule: ribosomal RNA, 261 nt
Filed under: Klebsiella pneumoniae subsp. pneumoniae
Lineage: Bacteria; Pseudomonadati; Pseudomonadota; Gammaproteobacteria; Enterobacterales; Enterobacteriaceae
Description: partial 23S ribosomal RNA
Rfam family: Bacterial large subunit ribosomal RNA
Source: RNAcentral